CCACAACCCAAAUUAUCGACAGUGAUUUAUAAUUGCUACCUUGGACGUGUUCGUGGUUCAAUCAACCGUAUAUGUGCUUUUUUGAACAAUCAAACAUUAACACAAAACAUGAACGAAACAUUAGAUAAGUAUGAGAGUUUAACACAUGCGUAUCCAAAUGGCGUGUUGGAAGAAUAUGUGAAAUACAACGACAUCGUUUCUGAAGACGAUCUAGCAGUUACAGGAGCUUUGGAACAAAUAGAACAACUAUCAAUGAAAGAGGAGCCAGAAUUCAAAUUCCAGUGAUCGAGGUGGUGCUGUUAUUGAGACAUUACAACCGUGAGGAUGAGGAAAGGGUUUCGAAUUUUUUAAGAGACUUAUUUGCAAAUGCAAUUCAACAGAGUACUUUGCAAGAAGAAGCUU
Mya arenaria is the source of this 402-nucleotide long non-coding RNA. RefSeq lists it as uncharacterized. NCBI's taxonomy places the organism in Eukaryota, Metazoa, Mollusca, Bivalvia, Myida, Myidae. The transcript is spliced from 3 exons. The record is from RefSeq and is a predicted model, not a curated record.